Molecule: ribosomal RNA, 626 nt
Filed under: Papiliotrema laurentii
Lineage: Eukaryota; Fungi; Basidiomycota; Tremellomycetes; Tremellales; Rhynchogastremaceae
Description: eukaryotic LSU rRNA
Rfam family: Eukaryotic large subunit ribosomal RNA
Source: RNAcentral
GCGGAGGAAAAGAAACUAACAAGGAUUCCCCUAGUAACGGCGAGUGAACCGGGAAGAGCUCAAAUUUGAAAUCUGGCGUCCUCAGGGCGUCCGAGUUGUAAUCUAUAGAGGCGUUUUCCGUGCCGGACCGUGUCCAAGUUCCUUGGAACAGGAUAUCAAAGAGGGUGACAAUCCCGUACUUGACACGACGACCGGUGCUCUGUGAUACGUCUUCUACGAGUCGAGUUGUUUGGGAAUGCAGCUCAAAAUGGGUGGUGAGUUCCAUCUAAAGCUAAAUAUUGGCGAGAGACCGAUAGCGAACAAGUACCGUGAGGGAAAGAUGAAAAGCACUUUGGAAAGAGAGUUAAACAGUACGUGAAAUUGUUGAAAGGGAAACGAUUGAAGUCAGUCGUGACCGAGAGGCUCAGCCGGUUCUGCCGGUGUAUUCCCCUCGGUCGGGUCAACAUCAGUUUUGUCCGGUGGAUAAGGGCGGUAGGAAGGUGGCACCCUCGGGUGUGUUAUAGCCUGCCGUCGCAUACAUCGGGUGAGACUGAGGAACGCAGCUCGCCUUUAUGGCCGGGGUUCGCCCACGUCCGAGCUUAGGAUGUUGACAUAAUGGCUUUAAACGACCCGUCUUGAAACACGGA